GCCCAUAAUCUAGCCCAACUUUUCCUAUAAACUCACCCUCUUUCCCUCAAAAUAAAAUAAAACAUUCUAAAUCUUUAGUAAAUGCGAUUAAAAAAGAACCUGGAGCUACACAUAUAGUACCGCAAGGGAAAGAUGAAAUAGAAGUUAAAUAAAUAUUUAAGCAUAAAAAAGCAAAGAUUUCAACUUGUACCUUUUGCAUCAUGGUCUAACUAGUCCAUCCAGGCAAAAAGGUUUUUAGUCUGAUACCCCGAAACUAAGUGAGCUACUCCGAGGCAACCUUAGAGUGAACCCGUCUCUGUGGCAAAAGAGUGGGACGACCUCCGAGUAGAGGCGACAUACCUAUCGAACUUAGUGAUAGCUGGUUACUCAAGAAAAGAAUUUUAGUUCAAUCUUAAAGGAACCCUUCAUAACUUAAUUAAAUAUACCCAUCCUUUAAGACUUAUUCAAUAAGGGUACAGCCUUAUUGAAAAAGGAUACAACCUAAAACUCAGGUUAAUGAUUUCUUCUUCUAAGAGGAGCUAGUUGGCUUAAGAGCAGCCACCUUUCUAAUAGCGUCAAAGCUUUCUCCUUCUUAUUCUCUAAUACUUAUUUCCCAUCAGAACCCGAUCAUAUUAUUGAGUCAUCCUAUACUUUUAUAGAAGUGUUUAUGUUAGAACUAGUAACACAGAAUUAUUUCUCUCUAUGUAAGUGUAAAUCAGAUUGAAUACGUCACUGAUACUUACUCAGUAAUGAAAACAAUGUAGCAACUUCACUAGAAAAUCCUACUAUCUUUUCUGUUAACCUAACACAAGAACCUAGGAAAAAGAUUAAAAGACUAAGAAGGAACUCGGCAAAUAAGGAUCCCGCCUGUUUACCAAAAACAUCGCCUCUUGAAUAAUAUACUAGGUACUGCCUGCCCAGUGACUAUAUGUUUAACGGCCGUGGUAUUUUGACCACGCAAAGGUAGCGUAAUCACUUGUUUUUUAAAUAAAGACUUGUAUGAAUGGCUUGACGAGGAUCCAACUGUCUCCUCUGGCCAAUCAGUGAAACUGAUCCCCUCGUGCAGAAGCGAGGAUUAACUNNNNNNNNNNNNNNNNNNNNNNNNNNNNNNNNNNNNNNNNNNNNNNNNNNNNNCCCCUUUCCUCUAACUGAACUAACAUUUAACUAAAUCUGCUUGAUUAAAGUUUUGGGUUGGGACGACCAUGGAGAAAAAAAAAUCCUCCCUGAUGACACCUAACUAAGAGCCUCAGCUCUAAGUAAUAAGAUACUUAACUUCUAUUGACCCAUUUUAUUGAUCAACGAACCAAGUUACCCUAGGGAUAACAGCGCAAUCCAUUUCAAGAGUCCUUAUCGACAAAUGGGUUUACGACCUCGAUGUUGGAUCAGGGCACCCAAGUG
RNAcentral lists this ribosomal RNA (1377 nucleotides) under Megophrys hansi. RNAcentral's name for it is "partial 16S ribosomal RNA". It matches the Rfam family "Bacterial large subunit ribosomal RNA", at positions 371 to 2552 of the family's 2925-position model. Lineage: Eukaryota; Metazoa; Chordata; Amphibia; Anura; Megophryidae. The record is from RNAcentral.